RNAcentral lists this ribosomal RNA (301 nucleotides) under uncultured bacterium. RNAcentral's name for it is "partial 16S ribosomal RNA". It matches the Rfam family "Bacterial small subunit ribosomal RNA", at positions 509 to 808 of the family's 1533-position model. The record is from RNAcentral.
CAGCCGCCACGGUAAGACGAACCGUGCGAACGUUAUUCGGAAUCACUGGGCUUAAAGCGCGUGUAGGCGGGAGGGCACGUCCGUCGCUGAAAUCCCCCGGCUCAACCGGGGAACGGGCGCGGAUACGACUCUUCUGGAGGAACGUAGGGGGACCUGGAACUUCCGGUGGAGCGGUGAAAUGCGUUGAGAUCGGAAGGAACGCCCGUGGCGAAAGCGAGGUCCUGGACGUUUACUGACGCUGAGACGCGAAAGCUAGGGUAGCGAACGGGAUUAGAUACCCCGGUAGUCCCUGUCUCUUAUA